Molecule: ribosomal RNA, 253 nt
Filed under: uncultured bacterium
Lineage: Bacteria
Description: partial 16S ribosomal RNA
Rfam family: Bacterial small subunit ribosomal RNA
Source: RNAcentral
UACGUAGGGGGCAAGCGUUGUCCGGAUUCAUUGGGCGUAAAGAGCGUGUAGGCGGCCAGGUAGGUCGGUUGUGAAAACUGGAGGCUCAACCUUCAGAGGUCGACCGAAACCAUCUGGCUAGAGUCCGGGAGAGGAGAGUGGAAUUCCUGGUGUAGCGGUGAAAUGCGCAGAUAUCAGGAAGAACACCAAUGGCGAAAGCAGCUCUCUGGGACGGUACUGACGCUGAGACGCGAAAGCGUGGGGAGCGAACAGG